UUUGAUACAUUUUCCCUUUUAAUGUUUCAUUUACUCAGUUUUCCUUAUAAUGUUCCAUUUACUCAUAUGCUUCUGUUAAGAAAGGCCUGAUACUCAUAUGCUUAUGUUAAGAAAGGCUUGAAAAGCACAUAGUGUUCACAUAUCUUUAUGUUUUGUCUUUGCUUCUUCUCACACACAUACACAUGAGCCCUGCAGUAAUCGCUGACUCCUGUAGAAGUAUCUUGCAGACACCCUUGGAAACAGGACCCAACUGGCUUCUGUUUUCCUCGAGAUAGACAAUACACUCACACACACACACACACACACUGUGUCCCAUACAUGCCCAGAUUGUCUGUUACAGUCUGAAAAAACAGAGAAUGCUACGAUGUAUAAAUAAAGCUGACUGCAAAGCCUCGGUGUGAGUAUCACCCGAUCACUCACCCGUGCGCACGUAGUUCUCUGAACAAAACUCUGACUGUUUCUGUAUUCUUUCAAUGUUUAAAAAUGUCUUGCCACUGACAUUUAAUUGGUCCUUCGAGCCGGAUAGUUUAUUGAUAUUAUUGUAUCAUCUAACUAUUCACAGACGGAGCCACCGGAUCCUGACGUCGUGACUACCUGCACUGCAACCACCGUUUCUAGCGAAGCGAGGAAAAGCCCAGGGUGUACAUUCGCCUACUGGCCAGUGUCUUAUACAGGUCCACGACGCCAGGUUCUCGGUGACGCCGGGAAAAAGAACACAGCGCAACAUUGAAGUCUCUUCCAGGUUGAAACCAGGAGAUUGGAUCCUGAUAAAAGUGCUCCAGAGGAAAAAGUGGAGCUCCCCGAGGUGGGAAGGACCCUACCAAGUCCUCCUGGCCACACCAACAGCCUGCAAAAUUGCUGAACGACCCUCCUGGAUUCAUCAGAGCCACUGUAAAAAAAGUGAGCGACAGUCAACACUAACACGCCAGCACCCCUGCCUGUUAGUGAUCUGGGAGGUGGAGAGAGGGCUGUUUGGGUAAAUCCCGCCCUUGUUCUUCUCGCCCCUAGUCUACUCACUCACAGGACCAGGUGUGUUCGGUCAUCAUGAAGACCCUACUCGUUCUGGUGGCCAGUGUCACAAUUCUGUUGGGACUGCUGUCGCUGAUUUCAGAAGAAGAAGGACAAGAUUGACACAUGACACAAUACAUCCAGACGACAUGACACAAGAUCACAACCACCCAUGGAUGAACAAUGCCUGGUACCGUUAUGUGUAAAACUCCACAAGAGACAGAAACUAUUACAUCUGUUCGCACAUGCCUCUUAAUGCAAAACACCUGAUAAUGUGCAUUCCACCAACUUGUCUGACACACUGAACACGCUACGUCAGCUCAGACGAGUACAGCAGCAAGAUUACACGCAAAACACAGAGGACUGGCUCACAUGGCUGCUUAGCGGGUCAUGGAAGUCAUUACUUACAAAAGGACUAACAUGCGUUGGAAUGCUCCUUUUGCUACUUUGCUUAUUUUCCACAUGUGUACUGCCUUGUAUUCGGAGUAUGAUAAGCAAAAUGUUUACUGUAAGAUUGCAAGCUUAUGUUGCAUUAUCUCAAAAUGAACAAGCUCAAGAAGAGGUACAAGUUGAAGAAGAUGAUUUUUACUCACUGACUGUGUAAUCCCAAUAAAGCUGACCAUAUAUGUUUUCAUAAAAUGAUACUCUAGUUGAAAAUGCUUCUGCAAGUAACUAGUAGUUGACGUACAUAAAUAUAUAUGAACAACAGCAGGGAAUGUUAAGAGAUUUUGUGAUUUUAUGAUGUUUUUCCUUUUUGAUACAUUUUCCCUUUUAAUGUUUCAUUUACUCAGUUUUCCUUAUAAUGUUCCAUUUACUCAUAUGCUUCUGUUAAGAAAGGCCUGAUACUCAUAUGCUUAUGUUAAGAAAGGCUUGAAAAGCACAUAGUGUUCACAUAUCUUUAUGUUUUGUCUUUGCUUCUUCUCACACACAUACACAUGAGCCCUGCAGUAAUCGCUGACUCCUGUAGAAGUAUCUUGCAGACACCCUUGGAAACAGGACCCAACUGGCUUCUGUUUUCCUCGAGAUAGACAAUACACUCACACACACACACACACACACUGUGUCCCAUACAUGCCCAGAUUGUCUGUUACAGUCUGAAAAAACAGAGAAUGCUACGAUGUAUAAAUAAAGCUGACUGCAAAGCCUCGGUGUGAGUAUCACCCGAUCACUCACCCGUGCGCACGUAGUUCUCUGAACAAAA
Long non-coding RNA from Pelmatolapia mariae (spotted tilapia), 2209 nucleotides. RefSeq lists it as uncharacterized. The transcript is spliced from 2 exons. NCBI's taxonomy places the organism in Eukaryota, Metazoa, Chordata, Actinopteri, Cichliformes, Cichlidae. The record is from RefSeq and is a predicted model, not a curated record.